CCUACGGGAGGCAGCAGUGGGGAAUAUUGCACAAUGGGGGAAACCCUGAUGCAGCGACGCCGCGUGAGUGAAGAAGUAUUUCGGUACGUAAAGCUCUAUCAGCAGGGAGGAAAAUGACGGUACCUGACUAAGAAGCCCCGGCUAACUACGUGCCAGCAGCCGCGGUAAUACGUAGGGGGCAAGCGUUAUCCGGAUUUACUGGGUGUAAAGGGAGCGUAGACGGCAGCGCAAGUCUGGAGUGAAAUCCCAUGGCUUAACCAUGGAACUGCUUUGGAAACUGUGCAGCUAGAGUGCAGGAGAGGUAAGCGGAAUUCCGAGUGUAGCGGUGAAAUGCGUAGAUAUUAGGAGGAACACCAGUGGCGAAGGCGGCUUACUGGACUGUAACUGACGUUGAGGCUCGAAAGCGUGGGGAGCAAACAGGAUUAGAUACCCUUGUAGUC
This 440-nucleotide ribosomal RNA is filed under the name uncultured bacterium. RNAcentral describes it as "partial 16S ribosomal RNA". It matches the Rfam family "Bacterial small subunit ribosomal RNA", at positions 338 to 795 of the family's 1533-position model. The record is from RNAcentral.